CAUGCAAGUCGAACGAGGAUAUAUCCUUCGGGAUAUAAGCCGAGUGGCGCAAGGGUGAGUAAUGCAUAGAUUACCUACCUCUAGGAUAAGGACAACUUUGUGAAAACGAAGCUAAUACUUAAUAACACAAGAGAAAAUAAUUUUCUUUUGUCAAUGGGAGGGUAGCAAUACCUUUUGCCUAGAGAGGGGUUUAUGUCCUAUCAGCUUGUUGGUGGGGUAAUGGCCUACCAAGGCGAAGACGGGUAGCCGGUCUUAGAGGAUGGUCGGCCACACUGGGACUGAGACACUGCCCAGACUUCUACGGAAGGCUGCAGUCGAGAAUCUUUCGCAAUGCCCGAAAGGGUGACGAAGCGACGCCGCGUGAGUGAGGAAGGCCUUCGGGUUGUAAAGCUCUGUCAGGAGUUAAGAAAUGUAAGUGUGCUAAUACCACAUUUACUUGACGAAGGCUCCAAAGGAAGCCACGGCUAACUCUGUGCCAGCAGCCGCGGUAAUACAGAGGUGGCAAGCGUUGUUCGGAAUUAUUGGGCGUAAAGAGCACGUAGGUGGGUUUGUAAGUCAGAUGUGAAAGCCUUCUGUUCAACGGAAGAAUUGCAUCUGAAACUGCAAGUCUUGAGUGUAGGAGGGGGGAAUGGAACUUCUGGUGGAGCGGUGAAAUGCGUAGAUAUCAGAAGGAACGCCGGCGGCGAAAGCGAUUCUCUGGCCUAUUACUGACACUCAGUGUGCGAAAGCUAGGGGAGCAAACGGGAUUAGAUACCCCGGUAGUCCUAGCCGUAAACGAUGGGCACUAAGUAGAGGGAAUUACCGAUGUUCUCUCUGCCGUAGCUAACGCAUUAAGUGCCCCGCCUGGGGAGUACGGCCGCAAGGCUAAAACUCAAAAGAAUUGACGGGGGCUCGCACAAGCGGUGGAGCAUGUGGCUUAAUUCGAUGCAACGCGAAAAACCUUACCGGGGCUUGACAUGGUAGAAGUAGGAACCCGAAAGGGUAACGAACGGUAUCCAGUCCGUAGCUAUCACAGGUGUUGCAUGGCUGUCGUCAGCUCGUGUCGUGAGACGUUGGGUUAAGUCCCCUAACGAGCGAAACCCUUGUUUUUAGUUACCAGCGGGUUAUGCCGGGUACUCUAGAAAGACUGCCGUCGUCAAGACGGAGGAAGGUGGGGAUGACGUCAAGUCAUCAUGGCCCUUAUGCCCCGGGCUGCACACGUGCUACAAUGGUCGGUACAAACGGAAGCGAAGCCGAGAGGUGGAGCGAAUCCUAAAAAGCCGAUCUCAGUUCGGAUUGGAGGCUGAAAUUCGCCUCUAUGAAGUUGGAAUCGCUAGUAAUCGCGGAUCAGCAUUGCCGCGGUGAAUAUGUUCCCGAGCCUUGUACACACCGCCCGUCAAGCCACCCAAGCAGGAUGCACCCGAAAACAUUAUAUCUAACCAGGCUUGCCUGGAGGAAAGUGUUGAAGGAGUGUUUUGUGAGGAGGACUAAGUCGUAACAAGGUAGUCGUAGGAGAACCUGCGGCUGGAUCACCUCCUUUCU
Molecule: ribosomal RNA, 1521 nt
Filed under: uncultured Planctomycetales bacterium
Lineage: Bacteria; Pseudomonadati; Planctomycetota; Planctomycetia; Planctomycetales
Description: 16S ribosomal RNA
Rfam family: Bacterial small subunit ribosomal RNA
Source: RNAcentral